This 75-nucleotide transfer RNA is filed under the name Nitrososphaerota archaeon. Its description in RNAcentral is "tRNA-Pro". It matches the Rfam family "tRNA". Rfam says of the family: Transfer RNA (tRNA) molecules are approximately 80 nucleotides in length. Their secondary structure includes four short double-helical elements and three loops (D, anti-codon, and T loops). RNAcentral also lists the same sequence under 1 other name. Lineage: Archaea; Thermoproteati; Nitrososphaerota. The record is from RNAcentral.
GGGACUGUGGGGUAGCUUGGUCCAUCCUAUGGCGUUCGGGACGCUGUGACUCCGGUUCAAAUCCGGACAGUCCCA